This 301-nucleotide ribosomal RNA is filed under the name uncultured bacterium. RNAcentral describes it as "partial 16S ribosomal RNA". It matches the Rfam family "Bacterial small subunit ribosomal RNA", at positions 509 to 807 of the family's 1533-position model. The record is from RNAcentral.
CAGUAGCCGCGGUAAAACCGAGGGUGCAAGCGUUAAUCGGAAUUACUGGGCGUAAAGCGCGCGUAGGUGGUUUGUUAAGUUGGAUGUGAAAGCCCCGGGCUCAACCUGGGAACUGCAUCCAAAACUGGCAAGCUAGAGUACGGUAGAGGGUGGUGGAAUUUCCUGUGUAGCGGUGAAAUGCGUAGAUAUAGGAAGGAACACCAGUGGCGAAGGCGACCACCUGGACUGAUACUGACACUGAGGUGCGAAAGCGUGGGGAGCAAACAGGAUUAGAGACCCCGGUAGUCCCUGUCUCUUAUAC